UCCCUGGUGACUCAGCUGGUGAAGUAUCCGCCUCCAAUGCAGGAGACCUGGGUUCAGUCCCUGGCUUGGGAA
Molecule: transfer RNA, 72 nt
Filed under: Bos taurus (domestic cattle)
Lineage: Eukaryota; Metazoa; Chordata; Mammalia; Artiodactyla; Bovidae
Also listed under: 1 other name
Rfam family: tRNA
About the family: Transfer RNA (tRNA) molecules are approximately 80 nucleotides in length. Their secondary structure includes four short double-helical elements and three loops (D, anti-codon, and T loops).
Source: Rfam by way of RNAcentral